Molecule: ribosomal RNA, 381 nt
Filed under: uncultured bacterium
Lineage: Bacteria
Description: bacterial SSU rRNA
Rfam family: Bacterial small subunit ribosomal RNA
Source: RNAcentral
AACGAACGCUGGCGGCGCGCCUAAUACAUGCAAGUCGAGCGAGAAGACGUAGCAAUACGUUUGUAAAGCGGCGAACGGGUGAGGAAUACAUGGGUAACCUACCCUCGAGUGGGGAAUAACUAGCCGAAAGGUUAGCUAAUACCGCGUACGCUCCUUGGACUUCGGUUCAGGGAGGAAAGCGAUACCGUGGGUAGUCGCGCUCUUGGAUGGGCUCAUGUCCUAUCAGCUUGUUGGUGAGGAACGGCUCACCAAGGCUUCGACGGGUAGCUGGUCUGAGAGGACAAUCAGCCACACUGGCACUGCGACACGGGCCAGACUCCUACGGGAGGCAGCAGUAAGGAAUAUUGCGCAAUGGGCGAAAGCCUGACGCAGCGACGCCGC